GUAGGGAAUAUUGGGCAAUGGAUGCAAGUCUGACCCAGCCAUCCCGCGUGCCGGAAGAAGGCCCUCAGGGUUGUAAACGGCUUUUGACGGUGAAGAAUCGACAGGAUGCGUCCUGUUUUGACGGUAGCCGUUGAAUAAGCACCGGCUAACUCCGUGCCAGCAGCCGCGGUAAUACGGAGGGUGCGAGCGUUGUCCGGAUUUAUUGGGUUUAAAGGGUGCGUAGGCUGGAAGGUCAGUCAGCGGUGAAAAGCUGUCGCUUAACGAUAGUCUUGCCGCAGAUACUUCCUUUCUUGGAUGAGGAGGAGGCCACUGGAACGGAUGGUGUAGCGGUGAAAUGCACAGAUAUCAUCCAGAACACCGAUUGCGAAGGCAGGUGGCUGUACCUUAAUCGACGCUGAUGCACGAAAGCAUGGGGAGCAAACAGGAUUAGAAACCCUUGUAUUCC
Molecule: ribosomal RNA, 445 nt
Filed under: uncultured bacterium
Lineage: Bacteria
Description: partial 16S ribosomal RNA
Rfam family: Bacterial small subunit ribosomal RNA
Source: RNAcentral